CCGGUCCAUGAAACUAGAGUCCAAAGAACUAACACUAGAAACCGCGUUGUCCAAAGAACUAACACUAAAAACCGUGCUAGUCGGUGCGGGUGUCUUAUAACUAGGUGGUUCGAGUCCCUCAAAUGAAUAUAUGAGUGGGUGGAUUGAAUCCCUCAUGUUGUAUACAUUGGUGCUAUAUCACCUUGAUUAUAACAGGAGGUUCGAGUCCCUCACAUAGGCAUUUAUGGUUAUGGAUAUUCUUUGGUCCAAACGGCUAAACACACUAGGCCCUUCCAGCUAGGGGAGAGUUAGGCCCAUAUAUCCCGUGGGAGCCUUGUUUUAUGACGGUUAUGCUACACAGCCAACUUAAUGUUUUUAAAGUUCAUGCUAAUCUUGU
This 376-nucleotide long non-coding RNA is filed under the name Capsicum annuum. Its description in RNAcentral is "long non-coding RNA (CANN_LNC014061)". Lineage: Eukaryota; Viridiplantae; Streptophyta; Magnoliopsida; Solanales; Solanaceae. The record is from RNAcentral.